RNAcentral lists this ribosomal RNA (483 nucleotides) under uncultured bacterium. Its description in RNAcentral is "partial 16S ribosomal RNA". It matches the Rfam family "Bacterial small subunit ribosomal RNA", at positions 29 to 507 of the family's 1533-position model. The record is from RNAcentral.
UUGAACGCUGGCGGCAUGCUUUACCCAUGCCAGUCGAACGGCAGCGCGGGCUUCGGCCUGGCGGCGAGUGGCGAACGGGUGAGUAAUACAUCGGAACGUGCCCAGUAGUGGGGGAUAGCUCGGCGAAAGCCGGAUUAAUACCGCAUACGACCUGAGGGUGAAAGCGGGGGAUCUUCGGACCUCGCGCUAUUGGAGCGGCCGAUGGCAGAUUAGCUAGUUGGUGGGGUAAAGGCCUACCAAGGCGACGAUCUGUAGCUGGUCUGAGAGGACGACCAGCCACACUGGGACUGAGACACGGCCCAGACUCCUACGGGAGGCAGCAGUGGGGAAUUUUGGACAAUGGGCGAAAGCCUGAUCCAGCAAUGCCGCGUGUGUGAUGAAGGCCUUCGGGUUGUAAAGCACUUUUGGCGGGAACGAAAAGGACUGUGCCAAUACCACGGUUCGAUGGCGGUACCCGCAGAAUAAGCACCGGCUAACUACGUG